This 254-nucleotide ribosomal RNA is filed under the name uncultured bacterium. RNAcentral's name for it is "partial 16S ribosomal RNA". It matches the Rfam family "Bacterial small subunit ribosomal RNA", at positions 524 to 776 of the family's 1533-position model. The record is from RNAcentral.
UACGUAGGGACCGAGCGUUGUCCGGAAUCAUUGGGCGUAAAGAGCGUGUAGGCGGCUUGCUAAGUCUUGCGUGAAAUCUCGGGGCUCAACCCCGAGCGGUCGUGGGAAACUGGCAGGCUAGAGUGCGGGAGAGGAGAAUGGAAUUCCUGGUGUAGCGGUGAAAUGCGCAGAUAUCAGGAAGAACACCCGUCGGCGAAGGCGGUUCUCUAGUACGGUACUGACGCUGAGACGCGAAAGCGUGGGGAGCGAACAGG